RNAcentral lists this ribosomal RNA (767 nucleotides) under uncultured Candidatus Poseidoniales archaeon. Its description in RNAcentral is "bacterial SSU rRNA". It matches the Rfam family "Archaeal small subunit ribosomal RNA", at positions 151 to 923 of the family's 1478-position model. Lineage: Archaea; Methanobacteriati; Thermoplasmatota; Candidatus Poseidoniia; Candidatus Poseidoniales. The record is from RNAcentral.
ACCGGAUAGAUCACAACGCCUGGAACGGUGUGUGGUUCAAAGGUCACGGCAUAGGAUGGGUCUGCGGCGUAUCAGGUCGUAGGGGGUGUAACGGACCUCCUAGCCAUCGACGCGUACGGGUGUUGGGAGACAUAGCCCGGAGAUGGAUUCUGAGACACGAAUCCAGACCCUACGGGGUGCAGCAGGCGCGAAAACUUCACACUGCAGGAAACUGUGAUGAGGGAACUCCAAGUGCGCGCACUUAGUGUGCGCUUUUCUUGACUAUUAAUCGGUCAUGGAAUAAGGGCUGGGAAAGACCGGUGCCAGCCGCCGCGGUAAUACCGGCAGCUCAAGUGGUCGUCGCUUUUAUUGGGCCUAAAACGUCCGUAGCCUGUUUGGUAAAUCUGUGGGUAAAUCAACCAGCUUAACUGGUUGAAUUCUGCAGAGACUGCCAGACUAGGGACCGGGAGAGGUGUGGGGUACUCUAGGGGUAGGGGUAAAAUCCUGUCAUCCUUAGAGGACCACCAGUUGCGAAGGCGCCACACUGGAACGGAUCCGACGGUCAGGGACGAAGCCUAGGGGCACGAACCGGAUUAGAUACCCGGGUAGUCCUAGGUGUAAACGCUGUGAACUUGGUGUCGGGAGUCCGCAAUGGGCCCCCGGUGCCGGAGUGAAGAUGUUAAGUUCACUGCCUGGGGAGUACGGUCGCAAGGCUGAAACUUAAAGGAAUUGGCGGGGGAGCACUGCAACGGGAGGAGCGUGCGGUUUAAUUGGACUCAACGCCGGGA